GUGUCUUAAUUUUGGUUGAUGUAUUACCUGUAAUUAACAUGUGUAUGUCUCACAUACUUAAAGGUAAAGGCAUGUCCAAGCUAUCAAAAAAAGGCCUAGAAAAAAACACGAUAGCCUAUUACAAGCUUAGAAAAAAAAUAAAAACCUAUCACGUCUGCUCGUGUAGAGAUGAUAUGUGAAAAACACUUGUAAAGAAGACCAGGACGGAAGAGUACUGAAAUUCUGUCUAAAAUAUUAACUAAAUAUGAGCGGAAUAACUGCAAUCAGGGACCUUUGUGGCCACAAAAGUGUACCCAUAAUGUUGUUCUGUGAAUAAUAUUAGGGAAUACAGAAGUAACCUAAACGCCUAGGCAAUAUUCACCAGAGUAGAGCCAAAAUAAAUGUGCCAUUCUAAGAGCACUUUGCCAAAAACAGAGCUAGGUGUAAUUUAUACCAAUAAAUGUCUAUACAUAUGUAGUGUAUCUAACUUAAAAGCCAGAUAGAAUAUGAUAUGUAUCAAACCAUUAUACAGAGACCAGACAAAGCAAGCUGGACUAACAGAAAAAAAACUGACAUAAAAACAAAGGUAGAAGAGUCACAUUGAACGUCAAACUGUGUACUUGGUUACAGAUGAUGUCACUGCUGAGAAGAGAAGACAAAAAAAGGUAAUUUCAAAGACCCUUCCUGCUUGCGUUACAAAUGGCACCCUAUUCCUUAUAAAGUGCACUACUUAUAACCAGGGUCUGGUUAGGGCUCUGGUCCAACGUCGUGCACUAUUAGGGAAUAGGGUGCCAUUUCAGACUAAUCCCCUUUCUCUGUAACAUUUCACAAAUCCUACCCCAAAAAAAAUCUGUCUCCAAACUAUAAAUAGCCAGCUGAAAGUGAGGGAGGGAAGGAGCUAGAGAGCGAGCAAGGAAGGGAGGGGGGAGCAACUUGAUAAUCCUUUUCCUUGCAACAUUAGACAAGCCUCUGUCUCUUCAUCUCUCUACUCCUCUCACCGUCUCCUUAUCUCUCCUUAUCUGCCCUAGUCUUACUACCUUUCUGUUCCUCUCCCUCUAUUUUUCAUUCUCUCCUCUCCGGCAGAUUUGAGGUCUGUGUAAAGCUGGAUUCGGUUUGGAAGGUUUUUGCCGCGUUACAAACAAACCCUUCAAAAUCAAAGCCACCUGCACUUAAAAUAAAAUGUGUGUGCGUGUAUCUAAAGAGUCUCAACUCUUUAGCCUAGUCCACUACGCAAAGCGCUUUUGGCACUUGGAAAAGCACUAAGCUAUUUAUAUCCCAUUCAUGAAAUGUUGUAAAAUGUUUCAAAUGACCUGUCUGACCUUUUUUUUCUCCUGCCACUAUCCUCACGUGCAAUAGAAAAUAUUUAUCGGUACCUGAGAGCUAAAUUGACCUGGGACCAUCUAUGAGAUUUCAGUGUUUUUGGUGCAUUGUUGUUAUAUUUGGGGCAAAUAAACCUAACUUCAACCUAAGCCAUGAUCUUUUAUUGAGGCAUUGGUGCUGGAGACUAUGGGCAAAUUCCCCUACUCAAACAGUGCAUGCAUUAAUCAAAUGGGUUUGCCCUGUGCCAUUGACUAACAGGUCUCUAGAUGAUAUGAACUGAUUUCCAGACAGGUGAAAUAAUUAACCAGAUAUAGUUCUGUCAGGCAUCUGCAACGGGAAGACAACGGAACGUUCAUGGAAAUUGGGAUCUGUCCCUGUAUAAUAAGGAAGUCAAGCCCUGACCAAGGGAUGUUGAUUAUACUGUGAUGUAACAGCUAAGAUGUUGUCAAUGUUUUUAUUGGCUAUGUUGUAAAUGACAUCCCAUUUCCAAUCAAGUGCACUACUUUGAAAAUAUGAGUAGACUGUGCAAGGAUUCGGUGAAUAUUUGUGAUGCUGUCUGAAUCAUGUUUUUAUUUUUGUGGUGUGAAAAAUAAAUGUAAUGAUGACAAAGUACAAUGCACUUUAUGGUUGAGUUCUAAAUGGCACCCCAUUCCCCAUAUAGUGCACUACUUUUGAACUGAGCCUUAUGGGCUCUUGUCAAAAGUGAUGUCCCACACAGGGAACAGUGUGUAAUUUAGAAGACACUUUACAAGCGGGACAGGUUAUAAACGUUGCACUGGAAGAGUCGAAUGUAUAAUCAUAUUAUCAAAUUAUUUAUUUUUACUAUUGUAAACACAAAAAGACUGAAAUGAUGAAACAAAAAGAGGAUCAUUUGCCAAAUAAACGG
Molecule: long non-coding RNA, 2185 nt
Organism: Esox lucius (northern pike)
Lineage: Eukaryota; Metazoa; Chordata; Actinopteri; Esociformes; Esocidae
Source: Ensembl